GAAAUGCGAUAAGUAGUGUGAAUUGCAGAUACCGUGAAUCAUCGAAUCUUUGAACGCACAUUGCACUGUCUGGAACUCCGGAUAGUAUGCCUGUUUGAGUAUCGGCAACCCACUCCGCUGGCAGUCCUACUACGGGCUGCGACGGCGAGGACUUGGGCCGACUCCGCUCUUUGGAGUGGCGCGGCCUGAAAUGCAUUGCUGGCCUGGGAGUUGAGCAAUCAAUGACCACCGUUGACACAUGCCAACAGAGUUAAACGGCGUUUCACGACGUCCUGACGCUGGGGGUGUUUGGCAACGGCAUAGGCGUAGUUACUUGAACACAAUACUUGGGUACCAGCACAACUCCCUUGCGGAGUUGUGCACAGGGCCUUUGUGAUUUUGAUCUCAAAUCAGGCAAGAC
RNAcentral lists this unclassified non-coding RNA (400 nucleotides) under uncultured fungus. Its description in RNAcentral is "sequence contains ITS1". The stretch from base 1 to 104 matches the Rfam family "5.8S ribosomal RNA", at positions 50 to 154 of the family's 154-position model. The record is from RNAcentral. Lineage: Eukaryota; Fungi.